RNAcentral lists this long non-coding RNA (594 nucleotides) under Amborella trichopoda. RNAcentral describes it as "long non-coding RNA (ATRI_LNC000728)". Lineage: Eukaryota; Viridiplantae; Streptophyta; Magnoliopsida; Amborellales; Amborellaceae. The record is from RNAcentral.
CGGUGUAAAAAUAGAUUAGAGAAUCGCGGUUCAUACUGCUCCCUAAUGCAUGCCCAAGACGUAUCUGAUUGGUAGGUGCCUGAGCAUUGCUCUUUGUUAUGUUAUUCGCUCAGCCUUGCUUUGAUUCCAUUCGUUCGGGCAGGCGGUAAGGAAGAUUGAUUUGGAACCGCCGCUGGUUGCUGAACUUGAGAGACCCACGAGGAAAAAGUUCAUUUUUGCAUAAAGGUUGAUUUGGUUCCUCUCCUUUAUAGUCGAGUGACUUCGUUCCUCUUUCGAGUGGUCUUGUAGUAAACUCCUCUCCUUUCAGUAGAGUGGCUUGGACUCUUCCCCCUUUCUCAACUCAUAAUCCAGGGGAACGCUGCUUCGAUCUCCACGCCUCCUCCUUCGAUUGCUGCUCAGACGUUUUUUUUGCUUGAAAGCUUGAACUGCUACACAAAGGGAGGAUCAUUCAAAGGCUUAUAAAUGCGUACAUGUUUUCCCUCUCGGAUGAACAUCAUUGUUUGGAACUACAGGGAAUGGCGAACAUAUUUAGGUAUAAAGACUCACUCUUAUUGGAAUGGAACAUCACUUACUUAUGACAGUUGGAAUGUAAGA